Molecule: ribosomal RNA, 433 nt
Filed under: Aeromonas sp. R-17628
Lineage: Bacteria; Pseudomonadati; Pseudomonadota; Gammaproteobacteria; Aeromonadales; Aeromonadaceae
Description: bacterial SSU rRNA
Rfam family: Bacterial small subunit ribosomal RNA
Source: RNAcentral
AUUGAACGCUGGCGGCAGGCCUAACACAUGCAAGUCGAGCGGCAGCGGGAAAGUAGCUUGCUACUUUUGCCGGCGAGCGGCGGACGGGUGAGUAAUGCCUGGGGAUCUGCCCAGUCGAGGGGGAUAACAGUUGGAAACGACUGCUAAUACCGCAUACGCCCUACGGGGGAAAGGAGGGGACCUUCGGGCCUUUCGCGAUUGGAUGAACCCAGGUGGGAUUAGCUAGUUGGUGGGGUAAUGGCUCACCAAGGCGACGAUCCCUAGCUGGUCUGAGAGGAUGAUCAGCCACACUGGAACUGAGACACGGUCCAGACUCCUACGGGAGGCAGCAGUGGGGAAUAUUGCACAAUGGGGGAAACCCUGAUGCAGCCAUGCCGCGUGUGUGAAGAAGGCCUUCGGGUUGUAAAGCACUUUCAGCGAGGAGGAAAGGUUG